UUUCUUUUGAUAGUGGGUAUUAAGAUUGGUUUUGGUUGAUAGUAACUUCUAAAUAUUUAGAGUCACCUUUGUUAGACAUUGGUAACAUUUAAAAAUUUAUUUUGGUUCUUUUAUUUGAUGUUUGGAAUAUAAAUUAUGUAAAUCUUAUAAGAAAAAGGAUUGAAGAAGGAUUUUGGUAGCAAACGAAGUAAUUAAGGCACUGUUGUUCUCGAUGCAUUCAAGCUUCAAUAUACCAAAGCAAUUGAAUUAAUAGAGGUGGAUUUGAAUACUGAGAAAGACUGGUUAUAUGAAUUGGGUCUGUUAGUGUCACAACUGACUGUACUCUGGCUAUCUGAAAUCAAUUAUCGAAUUAUAAAACACCAAGGCUUACUACUUUUAUCUUGAUUCAAGACAUAAUCCAAUCUACGACUAUCAAUUCAAUAAUACUUCUCUCAAUCACAAUUCUUCAUAAGCAAAUAAUAAAAGUAAAGAAAAUAAAGAGGUAGCACCAAGCUUACCCCAGCUUAUAACUCUCAUAAUCUGGCUCCCAGCUUACAACUUUUGUAGUCUGGCUCUCGGCUUACAACCCUCAUAGUCAGGCUCUCAGCUUACGACUCUCACAGUCUGGCUCUCGGCUUAAGACUCACACAGUUUGAUUCUUGACUUUCUUUCCUUAACCUAUUUAUCCUACCAAAAAGAUGAUCCAUCGGCCAGUAGAUUCCAAAAGUUAUGACCCUUUGAAUUCUUAACCAUUUACUCCACUAACAACCUACUGUUACCAACUAAACUGCCUAACCAUCAGUCUAAUUUUCAAGGUUCUCAAUAACCAACUAAUAACUUACCACAAAGUUUAUUUACCUAUUCUACAUAGCCCCA
This 855-nucleotide long non-coding RNA is filed under the name Physcomitrium patens. RNAcentral's name for it is "long non-coding RNA (PPAT_LNC006214)". The record is from RNAcentral. Lineage: Eukaryota; Viridiplantae; Streptophyta; Bryopsida; Funariales; Funariaceae.